GACGAACCGUGCGAACGUUGUUCGGAUUCACUGGGCUUAAAGGGCGCGUAGGCGGGUCCACAAGUCAGGGGUGAAAGCUCCCGGCCUAACCGGGAAAGUGCCUUUGAUACUGUGGGUCUCGAGGGAGGUAGGGGCACGUGGAACUUCCGGUGGAGCGGUGAAAUGCGUAGAUAUCGAGAGGAACACCUGCGGCGAAGGCGGGUUGCUGGGCUGACACUGACGCUGAGGCGCGAAAGCUAGGGGAGCGAACGGG
This 253-nucleotide ribosomal RNA is filed under the name uncultured bacterium. RNAcentral describes it as "partial 16S ribosomal RNA". It matches the Rfam family "Bacterial small subunit ribosomal RNA", at positions 524 to 776 of the family's 1533-position model. The record is from RNAcentral.